UCUGAGAGAAAAAGGGUAAUACUAUUUUGGAAACCUAUACUCUUUGGCGGCCUUAUUUCUUAUCAGAGGAACUUGUUCAUUAAUCGAAAUUACCCGUUCAUUUUCCCUUUUUAUUGUUUUUAUACCGUCGUCUUAAGAAUAUUGUUAAGCAAAUUAUUCUAACUUGAUUAUGCAAGUAAGUCAGAUCAAGGUGAAGCUCAUUUAAAAGAUCUGGAUGAGUUAUUUAUAAGAAUUACUAAAGGAUAUUUUUUUUAAAAUUUAAUAAAAUUAAGAUUUGACAGUACUUAUUAUUUAAAAUGUUGUGAGGAAGAAGUGAAAAAAGGUGU
This 326-nucleotide ribosomal RNA is filed under the name Aname ellenae. RNAcentral describes it as "partial 12S ribosomal RNA". Lineage: Eukaryota; Metazoa; Arthropoda; Arachnida; Araneae; Anamidae. The record is from RNAcentral.